GAAUAAAGGCAUUUUGCCAGCUAUACCACCCAAGAUAUCAAUCCUUAUUCUAUACCAAGAUGAAAGGUCUUCUGAGAGCUGUAGUCUGUAAUGAAGUCUGCAAAAGAUGUAUCUGAGCAAGAGACCAGGACCCAAUAUAUGGAUUUUUCUACGAGGCAAGAAAUCCUGUAAUCGAGUUGAGAACUGUACAAAGUGAAGCACUGCUAUCUGGUGGCCAAAAGGCACUUCUGAUUUUUUUCUGUCAGAAAAGACAAUAUACUCUCUAAAUCAAACAUCCUUUGGUAGCAAUGUGCUCUAAGAGCUUUCAUGAUGCUGAGAUAUAGUGUCAAAUAUUAUUGCUAAAUCCCCAU
This is a long non-coding RNA of Aquila chrysaetos chrysaetos, 350 nucleotides long. RefSeq lists it as uncharacterized. The record is from RefSeq and is a predicted model, not a curated record. NCBI's taxonomy places the organism in Eukaryota, Metazoa, Chordata, Aves, Accipitriformes, Accipitridae. The transcript is spliced from 2 exons.